CCCCUAGAUGUUCUGGGCCGCACGCGCGCUACACUGAACAGUUCAACAAGUCUUAACCUUGGCCGAUAGGUCUGGGUAAUCUUUGUACGCUGUUCGUGAUUGGGAUAGACCUUUGCAAUUAUGGGUCUUCAACGAGGAAUUCCUAGUAAACGCAAGUCAUCAGCUUGCAUUGAUUACGUCCCUGCCCUUUGUACACACCGCCCGUCGCACCUACCGAUUGAAUGGUCCGGUGAAAUCUCGGGACGGCGGCUUGGUCGCUUGCGUCCGACUGCUGAAACUUGAUUAAACCAUAUCAUUUAGAGGAAGGUGAAGUCGUAACA
This 320-nucleotide ribosomal RNA is filed under the name uncultured eukaryote. RNAcentral's name for it is "partial 18S ribosomal RNA". It matches the Rfam family "Eukaryotic small subunit ribosomal RNA", at positions 1470 to 1796 of the family's 1831-position model. The record is from RNAcentral.